ACGUUUUUAGUUUAAUAUGGAUAGAACUCUAGUCUUCUAAACUAGGUAUAUAGGUUCGAAUCCUAUAAAACGUA
RNAcentral lists this transfer RNA (74 nucleotides) under Thorea hispida. RNAcentral's name for it is "tRNA-Arg". It matches the Rfam family "tRNA". From Rfam's summary of the family: Transfer RNA (tRNA) molecules are approximately 80 nucleotides in length. The record is from RNAcentral. Lineage: Eukaryota; Rhodophyta; Florideophyceae; Thoreales; Thoreaceae. RNAcentral also lists the same sequence under 1 other name.